This 274-nucleotide unclassified non-coding RNA is filed under the name Hevea brasiliensis (rubber tree). The record is from RNAcentral. Lineage: Eukaryota; Viridiplantae; Streptophyta; Magnoliopsida; Malpighiales; Euphorbiaceae.
GUUGAAACAAUAAUCCAUAAAAUGAUAAUAAAAAAAAUGGAUUUAGGUGGCUUUUCAUAUUUCAAUCCAAUGAUAUUUUCCAACGCGGCUUAAAUUGUUUUGGGAAAAGAAUGACAGCUUUGAAAAGCCAGUCUGGUCACACGUUGUUAACGAGAAUAACAUCGCACCUGACCGGGGAUGAGACGACUUUGUUUCUUCUUCUUUGGAGGUUCCAGGAACAGCUAUUUGCCUAUUUCUUCUUGUUUUAUCACUCAAUUCAAUUCCACAAGGUGAU